This is a long non-coding RNA of Triticum aestivum (bread wheat), 612 nucleotides long. RefSeq lists it as uncharacterized. Lineage: Eukaryota; Viridiplantae; Streptophyta; Magnoliopsida; Poales; Poaceae. The record is from RefSeq and is a predicted model, not a curated record. The transcript has 3 exons.
CGCGCGGCGUUCCCCCUUCGUCCCCAUCCCGCCGCCCAUCCCAUGGCGACCCAAUCCCCCAGCCCUACCACGGACCCAGCACCCGCUCCGCCGCCACCGCCCCCCGGCCUCCGCGCGGGGCUCUACGCCGACCGCACCGAGCAGCAGCAGCGCGAUGAAGCCAACCAAGUCAGUGAGAUCCAAAGUCGGGGAGUCUCUGCCUGCUACCUUGAGCACUGAUUUCAACAACCAGGUUGGGGGGCAGAAACCUUUUGCUGGGACAUGCAACAGUAACAGAUCUAGCGAUCUAGCAAACGAGAUAGAUGAUCUUGUGCUGCAACCAAGGUAUGAUGGCGUGAAUGGGCCAAAGAUGGUCUAAUUCUCUGACUUCCUGCUGAUCGUUGCUUCAGAACGACAACCUAGACAACGUCAGCCCAUUGCUGCCCUGCCGCAAGAUGAUCGUAACGUUUCUUCUUUAAGAAGCCCAUCUCCACCCGUUGAAGAAGAACCAAAGGGAGAUGUGUUAGUCAAAUCCUCCCCUGAAAAGGUGGAUGCUGCAUUGGCGCAUGCCAUUGUGUGGGAGGGAACAAUUCAGCUUACUGGGUCUUCACUCACAAAUGUUGUUGCUAUCUU